CCCGGUGAUUCUAGCGGAGGGGUCACACCCGUUCCCAUUCCGAACACGGAAGUUAAGCCCUCCAGCGCCGAUGGUACUGCACGGGUGACUGUGUGGAAGAGUAGGCCGUUGCCGGGA
RNAcentral lists this ribosomal RNA (117 nucleotides) under Acidobacteriota bacterium. Lineage: Bacteria; Pseudomonadati; Acidobacteriota. The record is from RNAcentral.